This 418-nucleotide long non-coding RNA is filed under the name Homo sapiens (human). RNAcentral's name for it is "HSALNT0213461". The record is from RNAcentral. Lineage: Eukaryota; Metazoa; Chordata; Mammalia; Primates; Hominidae.
GCUGUUGCUGUUGCUGUUGCGCGGCGGCGGCGGCGGCCGCCGCUGCUGCCGCCGCCGCCGCCGCUUCCUUAGCCGACAGGGCCACUGUCUUGACCCCGACGGGCGGCGGCGGCCCGGGGGAGCGGCCGUCCUGGAAGCAGCCGUGCGCCCGCUUCAGCUGGCGCGCUGUCUCGAUCACGAAUUCGAUGCGAUCAGCGCCCUCGUAGUUGACGCAACCGCGGCAUACGGGUUCCGAGAAGUCCCAGAUCAUGGCCCAGGGCAUGCGGGGCAGGUCGCACAGGUAGCAAGAUUGUCUCCGGGACGAGGACACCUGCGCCGCCGACAUGAUGCCUGCCCUGGGGAAGCGUCGGCCGUUCUGCUGGCGGCGACUGGGUUUGCACCCCGGAGGGAGCCGCCGCGGCCACUGCUUCCAGGACGC